UGAGCAAUCUGCCCUUCUCUUCGGAAUAAGCGUUGGAAACGACGUCUAAUGCCGAAUACGACCUCCUUUCGCAUGAUCGGAGGUGGAAAGCUCCGGCGGAGAAGGAUGAGCUCGCGGCCUAUCAGCUAGUUGGUGAGGUAACGGCUCACCAAGGCAACGACGGGUAGCUGGUCUGAGAGGAUGGCCAGCCACAUUGGGACUGAGACACGGCCCAGACCUCUACGGGA
This 227-nucleotide ribosomal RNA is filed under the name uncultured bacterium. RNAcentral describes it as "partial 16S ribosomal RNA". It matches the Rfam family "Bacterial small subunit ribosomal RNA", at positions 118 to 346 of the family's 1533-position model. The record is from RNAcentral.